CCUACGGGAGGCAGCAGUAGGGAAUAUUGCUCAAUGGGGGAAACCCUGAAGCAGCAACGCCGCGUGGAGGAUGAAGGUUUUAGGAUUGUAAACUCCUUUUGUUAGAGAAGAUUAUGACGGUAUCUAACGAAUAAGCACCGGCUAACUCCGUGCCCGCAUCCGCGGUAAUACGGAGGGUGCAAGCGUUACUCGGAAUCACUGGGCGUAAAGCGUGCGUAGGCGGGGUAAUAAGUCAGAUGUGAAAUCCUGUAGCUUAACUACAGAACUGCCUUUGAAACUGUUACUCUGGAGUGUGGGAGAGGUAGGUGGAAUGCUUGGUGUAGGGGUAAAAUCCGUAGAGAUCAAGCGGAAUACUCAUUGCGAAGGCGACCUGCUGGAACAUUACUGACGCUGAUGCACGAAAGCGUGGGGAUCAAACAGGAUUAGAUACCCGAGUAGUC
This 440-nucleotide ribosomal RNA is filed under the name uncultured bacterium. RNAcentral's name for it is "partial 16S ribosomal RNA". It matches the Rfam family "Bacterial small subunit ribosomal RNA", at positions 338 to 795 of the family's 1533-position model. The record is from RNAcentral.